GGCCGGUUAGCUCAGCUGGUUAGAGCGUAGUGCUAAUAACACCAAGGUUGCGGGUUCGAUCCCCGUAAUGGCUA
Molecule: transfer RNA, 74 nt
Filed under: Danio rerio (zebrafish)
Lineage: Eukaryota; Metazoa; Chordata; Actinopteri; Cypriniformes; Danionidae
Rfam family: tRNA
About the family: Transfer RNA (tRNA) molecules are approximately 80 nucleotides in length.
Source: Rfam by way of RNAcentral